Molecule: signal recognition particle RNA, 268 nt
Filed under: Candidatus Brocadia sapporoensis
Lineage: Bacteria; Pseudomonadati; Planctomycetota; Candidatus Brocadiia; Candidatus Brocadiales; Candidatus Brocadiaceae
Also listed under: 3 other names
Description: signal recognition particle sRNA large type
Rfam family: Bacterial large signal recognition particle RNA
About the family: The signal recognition particle (SRP) is a universally conserved ribonucleoprotein involved in the co-translational targeting of proteins to membranes.
Source: RNAcentral
CCGUGCUAGAUGGGGAGCUAGCGGUACCCUGUAACCUGCAACCCGCUACAGCAGGAUCAAUCGCUUUUUCGAGGAUCCAAAGAACAUUAGUCUUAUCGAUGUAAGUGGUGAUGAGGGCCGGAUCUCAUGCAAUAAGAGAUUGUGUGAACCUGGUCAGGUGCGGAAGCAAGCAGCCAUAAGCAUAUAUCCUUAUGUGCAGUGAGCCCGUCUGGCCUGAGCUUACUGCAUAGACAAGCUAAUGGGAAUGGAGACAGAAAAAAGUGCACGG